UUUUUUUUUUUUUUUUUUGUUUUGAAUAUUUUGAAGUGUGUAGGUUAAAAAACUUUGAAAAGUUUUUUGAAGUUAUUAUAGUUAAAAUCGAUAAACAAAAAAUUAGUAGCAGACAAAUUUGGGUAAAAACCCAUUUGACAAACUGGCACACAAUGUAUGGUGAAAACACAUAUGUACACAUAAACACAUCUACAUGUCUUCGCAUAAAAAUGCACCUCUUAACCGAGGUAGCACUCGGACCAUCAAAAGCACAGUACAGUGUGGUGACUUUGACCAAAGUCAUCUAGCAUAACUCAAAAGCACGGUAGAGUCUGUCUUGACCCAAGUGAUCUAGCAUAACCAAAUGUAGCAGC
This 353-nucleotide long non-coding RNA is filed under the name Coffea arabica (coffee). Its description in RNAcentral is "long non-coding RNA (CARA_LNC007258)". Lineage: Eukaryota; Viridiplantae; Streptophyta; Magnoliopsida; Gentianales; Rubiaceae. The record is from RNAcentral.